AUGGUUAAGUUAGAAAGGGCGCACGGUGAAUGCCUUGGCACUAGGAGCCGAUGAAGGACGGGACUAACACCGAUAUGCUUCGGGGAGCUGUAAGUGAGCUUUGAUCCGGAGAUUUCCGAAUGGGGAAACCCACUGUUCGUAAUGGAACAGUAUCUUUAUCUGAAUACAUAGGAUAUUGAAGGCAGACCCGGGGAACUGAAACAUCUAAGUACCCGGAGGAAGAGAAAGCAAAUGCGAUUUCCUGAGUAGCGGCGAGCGAAACGGAAUUAGCCCAAACCAAGAGGCUUGCCUCUUGGGGUUGUAGGACACUCUAUACGGAGUUACAAAGGAACGAAGUAAAUGAAGCGACCUGGAAAGGUCCGUCGAAGAAGGUAACAACCCUGUAGUUGAAACUUCGUUCCCUCUUGAGUGGAUCCUGAGUACGGCGGAACACGUGAAAUUCCGUCGGAAGCUGGGAGGACCAUCUCCCAAGGCUAAAUACUACCUAGUGACCGAUAGUGAACCAGUACCGUGAGGGAAAGGUGAAAAGCACCCCGGAAGGGGAGUGAAAGAGAUCCUGAAACCGUGUGCCUACAAGUAGUCAGAGCCCGUUAACGGGUGAUGGCGUGCCUUUUGUAGAAUGAACCGGCGAGUUACGAUCCCAUGCAAGGUUAAGCUGAUAAGGCGGAGCCGUAGCGAAAGCGAGUCUGAAUAGGGCGUUUAGUAUGUGGUUGUAGACCCGAAACCAGGUGAUCUACCCAUGUCCAGGGUGAAGUUCAGGUAACACUGAAUGGAGGCCCGAACCCACGCACGUUGAAAAGUGCGGGGAUGAGGUGUGGGUAGCGGAGAAAUUCCAAUCGAACCUGGAGAUAGCUGGUUCUCUCCGAAAUAGCUUUAGGGCUAGCCUCAUGUUGUGAGAGUCUUGGAGGUAGAGCACUGAUUGGACUAGGGGCCCCCAACGGGUUACCGAAUUCAGUCAAACUCCGAAUGCCAAAGACUUAUCCAUGGGAGUCAGACUGCGAGUGAUAAGAUCCGUAGUCAAAAGGGAAACAGCCCAGACCACCAGCUAAGGUCCCCAAGUAUACGUUAAGUGGAAAAGGAUGUGGAGUUGCUUAGACAACCAGGAUGUUGGCUUAGAAGCAGCCACCAUUUAAAGAGUGCGUAAUAGCUCACUGGUCGAGUGACUCUGCGCCGAAAAUGUACCGGGGCUAAACGUAUCACCGAAGCUGUGGAUUGACAUCUUUGAUGUCAGUGGUAGGAGAGCGUUCUAAGUGCAGCGAAGUCAGACCGUAAGGACUGGUGGAGCGCUUAGAAGUGAGAAUGCCGGUAUGAGUAGCGAAAGACAAGUGAGAAUCUUGUCCACCGAAUGCCUAAGGUUUCCUGAGGAAGGCUCGUCCGCUCAGGGUUAGUCGGGACCUAAGCCGAGGCUGAAAAGCGUAGGCGAUGGCCAACAGGUUGAUAUUCCUGUACCACCUCCCCGCCGUUUGAGUAAUGGGGGGACGCAGUAGGAUAGGGUAAGCGCGCUGCUGGAUAUGCGCGUUCAAGCAGUUAGGCUGAUGAGUAGGCAAAUCCGCUCAUCAUAAAGGCUGAGCUGUGAUGACGAGGGAAUUAUAGUACCGAAGUUCCUGAUUCCACACUGCCAAGAAAAGCCUCUAGCGAGGCGGGAGGUGCCCGUACCGCAAACCGACACAGGUAGGCGAGGAGAGAAUCCUAAGGUGAUCGAGAGAACUCUCGUUAAGGAACUCGGCAAAAUGACCCCGUAACUUCGGGAGAAGGGGUGCUCUGGUAGGGUGUAUAGCCCGAGAGAGCCGCAGUGAAUAGGCCCAGGCGACUGUUUAGCAAAAACACAGGUCUCUGCGAAGCCGCAAGGCGAAGUAUAGGGGCUGACGCCUGCCCGGUGCUGGAAGGUUAAGAGGAGGGGUUAUCCUUCGGGAGAAGCUCUGAAUCGAAGCCCCAGUAAACGGCGGCCGUAACUAUAACGGUCCUAAGGUAGCGAAAUUCCUUGUCGGGUAAGUUCCGACCCGCACGAAAGGCGUAACGAUCUGGGCACUGUCUCAACGAGAGACUCGGUGAAAUUAUAGUACCUGUGAAGAUGCAGGUUACCCGCGACAGGACGGAAAGACCCCGUGGAGCUUUACUGUAGCCUGAUAUUGAAUUUUGGUACAGCUUGUACAGGAUAGGUAGGAGCCUGAGAAGCCGGAGCGCUAGCUUCGGUGGAGGCGUCGGUGGGAUACUACCCUGGCUGUAUUGAAAUUCUAACCCGCGGCCCUGAUCGGGCCGGGAGACAGUGUCAGGUGGGCAGUUUGACUGGGGCGGUCGCCUCCUAAAAUGUAACGGAGGCGCCCAAAGGUUCCCUCAGAAUGGUUGGAAAUCAUUCGUAGAGUGUAAAGGCACAAGGGAGCUUGACUGCGAGACCUACAAGUCGAGCAGGGACGAAAGUCGGGCUUAGUGAUCCGGUGGUUCCGCAUGGAAGGGCCAUCGCUCAACGGAUAAAAGCUACCCCGGGGAUAACAGGCUUAUCUCCCCCAAGAGUCCACAUCGACGGGGAGGUUUGGCACCUCGAUGUCGGCUCAUCGCAUCCUGGGGCUGUAGUCGGUCCCAAGGGUUGGGCUGUUCGCCCAUUAAAGCGGUACGCGAGCUGGGUUCAGAACGUCGUGAGACAGUUCGGUCCCUAUCCGUCGUGGGCGUAGGAAAUUUGAGAGGAGCUGUCCUUAGUACGAGAGGACCGGGAUGGACACACCGCUGGUGUACCAGUUGUCUUGCCAAAGGCAUUGCUGGGUAGCUAUGUGUGGACGGGAUAAGUGCUGAAAGCAUCUAAGCAUGAAGCCCCCCUCAAGAUGAGAUUUCCCAUAGCGUAAGCUAGUAAGAUCCCUGAAAGAUGAUCAGGUUGAUAGGUCAGAGGUGGAAGCGUGGCGACAUGUGUAGCUGACUGAUACUAAUCGAUCGAGGACUUAACCAAAC
RNAcentral lists this ribosomal RNA (2940 nucleotides) under Priestia megaterium NCT-2. RNAcentral describes it as "bacterial LSU rRNA". It matches the Rfam family "Bacterial large subunit ribosomal RNA". The record is from RNAcentral. Lineage: Bacteria; Bacillati; Bacillota; Bacilli; Caryophanales; Bacillaceae.